UCAGAGCAAUUCACUUAACACGCGUCGUUUGAGUCCGCUCCAGCGAGAGGACCGGACGUAGACUCGGGCCACCGGGGGAAAGGAGCUGAUGCUGCUACGGAGAGCAGCUCGGCCCCCCGCCCCCCUUCCCUCGACUGGGAUGUGACCAGUAUCCUAACAGACUUCUUCGUCCGCUGUUCACGGAACACCAGCCACAGUGUUUGGAGACGCACGGGAAUGAGAAACAGUCCCUGCUUUCAGGGAUCUCCCAAUCAGUCGGGUGGAGGAGCAGAUAAAAAAACAGGUUUUUUUCAUCUUAGAAAGUCUGCAACUACCCCCACAUUAAGAUUCUUCCAUGUUAAUUCUUUUUUUUUUUUUUUUUUUAAAGAUUUUAUUUAUUUAUUUGAGAGAGAGAGAAUGAGAGAUAGCACGAGAGGGAAG
Long non-coding RNA from Zalophus californianus (California sea lion), 420 nucleotides. RefSeq lists it as uncharacterized. The transcript has 3 exons. The record is from RefSeq and is a predicted model, not a curated record. NCBI's taxonomy places the organism in Eukaryota, Metazoa, Chordata, Mammalia, Carnivora, Otariidae.